Molecule: ribosomal RNA, 141 nt
Filed under: Acanthamoeba lenticulata
Lineage: Eukaryota; Discosea; Longamoebia; Acanthamoebidae
Description: partial 18S ribosomal RNA
Rfam family: Eukaryotic small subunit ribosomal RNA
Source: RNAcentral
CCAAGGAUGUUUUCAUUAAUCAAGAACGAAAGUUAGGGGAUCGAAGACGAUCAGAUACCGUCGUAGUCUUAACCAUAAACGAUGCCGACCAGCGAUUAGGAGACGUUGAAUACAAAACACCGCCGUUNAUCCUUUCGGGGG